UCAAGCCGUCGGAUGUCUUCCUCCUCCCAGACACCCGACGGUGAAUGCGGUGCUCCUCCUCCCGCGCCGUAUUCGAAAUCGAAGCCCGCUGCCACCUCCUCCCGGCAGCGGGCUUUUCU
Molecule: small RNA, 119 nt
Rfam family: Alphaproteobacterial ar14
About the family: Smr14C2 was renamed NfeR1 (Nodule Formation Efficiency RNA) highly expressed in salt stress and during the symbiotic interaction on legume roots.